GAUGAACGCUGGCGGCGUGCCUAAUACAUGCAAGUCGAGCGAACAGACGAGGAGCUUGCUCCUUUGACGUUAGCGGCGGACGGGUGAGUAACACGUGGAUAACCUACCUAUAAGACUGGGAUAACUUCGGGAAACCGGAGCUAAUACCGGAUAACAUGUUGAACCGCAUGGUUCAACGGUGAAAGACGGUCUUGCUGUCACUUAUAGAUGGAUCCGCGCCGCAUUAGCUAGUUGGUAAGGUAACGGCUUACCAAGGCAACGAUGCGUAGCCGACCUGAGAGGGUGAUCGGCCACACUGGAACUGAGACACGGUCCAGACUCCUACGGGAGGCAGCAGUAGGGAAUCUUCCGCAAUGGGCGAAAGCCUGACGGAGCAACGCCGCGUGAGUGAAGAAGGUCUUCGGAUCGUAAAACUCUGUUAUUAGGGAAGAACAAAUGUGUAAGUAACUAUGCACGUCUUGACGGUACCUAAUCAGAAAGCCACGGCUAACUACGUG
RNAcentral lists this ribosomal RNA (497 nucleotides) under uncultured bacterium. RNAcentral describes it as "partial 16S ribosomal RNA". It matches the Rfam family "Bacterial small subunit ribosomal RNA", at positions 28 to 507 of the family's 1533-position model. The record is from RNAcentral.